RNAcentral lists this transfer RNA (84 nucleotides) under Aliivibrio sp. RNAcentral's name for it is "tRNA-Leu". It matches the Rfam family "tRNA". From Rfam's summary of the family: Transfer RNA (tRNA) molecules are approximately 80 nucleotides in length. Their secondary structure includes four short double-helical elements and three loops (D, anti-codon, and T loops). The record is from RNAcentral. Lineage: Bacteria; Pseudomonadati; Pseudomonadota; Gammaproteobacteria; Vibrionales; Vibrionaceae.
GCGGGUGUGGUGGAAUUGGUAGACACACCAGGUUUAGGUUCUGGGGGCUAUACGGCCUUGCGGGUUCAAGUCCUGCCAUCCGUA